Molecule: ribosomal RNA, 468 nt
Filed under: uncultured bacterium
Lineage: Bacteria
Description: partial 16S ribosomal RNA
Rfam family: Bacterial small subunit ribosomal RNA
Source: RNAcentral
GACGAACGCUGGCGGCGUGCUUAACACAUGCAAGUCGAACGGAAAGGCCCUGCUUUUGUGGGGUGCUCGAGUGGCGAACGGGUGAGUAACACGUGAGUAACCUGCCCUUGACUUUGGGAUAACUUCAGGAAACUGGGGCUAAUACCGGAUAGGAGCUCCUGCUGCAUGGUGGGGGUUGGAAAGUUUCGGCGGUUGGGGAUGGACUCGCGGCUUAUCAGCUUGUUGGUAGGGUAGUGGCUUACCAAGGCUUUGACGGGUAGCCGGCCUGAGAGGGUGACCGGCCACAUUGGGACUGCGAUACGGCCCAGACUCCUACGGGAGGCAGCAGUGGGGAAUAUUGCACAAUGGGCGGAAGCCUGAUGCAGCAACGCCGCGUGCGGGAUGACGGCCUUCGGGUUGUAAACCGCUUUCGCCUGUGACGAAGCGUGAGUGACGGUAAUGGGUAAAGAAGCACCGGCUAACUACGUG